This 85-nucleotide transfer RNA is filed under the name Felis catus (domestic cat). It matches the Rfam family "tRNA". Rfam says of the family: Transfer RNA (tRNA) molecules are approximately 80 nucleotides in length. The record is from Rfam by way of RNAcentral. Lineage: Eukaryota; Metazoa; Chordata; Mammalia; Carnivora; Felidae.
GCCUGGGUGGCUUAGUCAGUUAAGCAUCUGAUUUUGGCUCAGGUCACGAUCUCAUAGUUUGUGGGUUUGAGCCCCGCAUAGGGCU